UACGGAGGGGGCCAGCGUUGCUCGGAAUUACUGGGCGUAAAGGGCUCGUAGGUGGCCAACUAAGUCAGACGUGAAAUCCCUCGGCUUAACCGGGGAACUGCGUCUGAUACUGGAUGGCUUGAGUGUGGGAGAGGGAUGCGGAAUUCCAGGUGUAGCGGUGAAAUGCGUAGAUAUCUGGAGGAACACCGGUGGCGAAGGCGGCAUCCUGGACCAUUACUGACACUGAAUAGCGAAAGCCAGGGGAGCAAACGGG
RNAcentral lists this ribosomal RNA (253 nucleotides) under uncultured bacterium. Its description in RNAcentral is "partial 16S ribosomal RNA". It matches the Rfam family "Bacterial small subunit ribosomal RNA", at positions 524 to 776 of the family's 1533-position model. The record is from RNAcentral.